This 526-nucleotide ribosomal RNA is filed under the name uncultured bacterium. RNAcentral describes it as "bacterial SSU rRNA". It matches the Rfam family "Bacterial small subunit ribosomal RNA", at positions 984 to 1509 of the family's 1533-position model. The record is from RNAcentral.
ACAUCCAGCGAACUUGGCAGAGAUGCCUUGGGUGCCUUCGGGAACGCUGAGACAGGUGCUGCAUGGCUGUCGUCAGCUCGUGUUGUGAAAUGUUGGGUUAAGUCCCGCAACGAGCGCAACCCUUAUCCUUUGUUGCCAGCGAUUCGGUCGGGAACUCAAAGGAGACUGCCGGUGAUAAACCGGAGGAAGGUGGGGAUGACGUCAAGUCAUCAUGGCCCUUACGAGUAGGGCUACACACGUGCUACAAUGGCGCAUACAAAGAGAAGCGACCUCGCGAGAGCAAGCGGACCUCAUAAAGUGCGUCGUAGUCCGGAUCGGAGUCUGCAACUCGACUCCGUGAAGUCGGAAUCGCUAGUAAUCGUGGAUCAGAAUGCCACGGUGAAUACGUUCCCGGGCCUUGUACACACCGCCCGUCACACCAUGGGAGUGGGUUGCAAAAGAAGUAGGUAGCUUAACCUUCGGGAGGGCGCUUACCACUUUGUGAUUCAUGACUGGGGUGAAGUCGUAACAAGGUAAGCGUAGCGAG